ACUCACGCAACGUCUUCCCGGUACGAUGUCGGAUAUAGUGCUCGAGUUGGUUAGAUAUGUCCGGUUCGAAAACCCAUCGUUUGUAUUGGUCACGGACCCACGAACCGAUAAUCAGUAAAACUCUAUCUUGGCUCGUCAUCUGCAGUAAUAAGUUACAAUAUAAUUAGUAUAUCUCAAUAUCUAUUCCAUUACACUGUCUACAUAAUGUUAUUCCAACAAACAAGCUUUAUCUGAAACACCAUUAAUUACAGUAUUCUGAGGACAGCUAACCUGAUUGUCUCCUUCCAGCAUUAACUACCUUGCUUCAUCACCUUCUUCUUUUUUUGGAAUUGUUCAGAUGGAGUUACACUAGUAAGUAAAUGGAAUACACCUUUUAUGGAUAAAAUGUUUUAAGUUAGACCACUUAUUUGAAUGUACACAGUGAAAAUAUCUUGGUAAUUACAAUUAGUAACGUGGCUGCCCCCUGUUCUUUCAAAUGGAAUAACUGUAAACAACUAAUAGCCAUUUACUCCAUUGCAUGCGUCGUCACCUCAC
This 534-nucleotide long non-coding RNA is filed under the name Brassica napus (rape). Its description in RNAcentral is "long non-coding RNA (BNAP_LNC001485)". The record is from RNAcentral. Lineage: Eukaryota; Viridiplantae; Streptophyta; Magnoliopsida; Brassicales; Brassicaceae.